RNAcentral lists this ribosomal RNA (497 nucleotides) under uncultured bacterium. RNAcentral's name for it is "partial 16S ribosomal RNA". It matches the Rfam family "Bacterial small subunit ribosomal RNA", at positions 28 to 507 of the family's 1533-position model. The record is from RNAcentral.
GAUGAACGCUGGCGGCGUGCCUAAUACAUGCAAGUCGAGCGAACAGAUGAGGAGCUUGCUCCUCUGACGUUAGCGGCGGACGGGUGAGUAACACGUGGAUAACCUACCUAUAAGACUGGGAUAACUUCGGGAAACCGGAGCUAAUACCGGAUAAUAUAUUGAACCGCAUGGUUCAAUAGUGAAAGACGGUUUUGCUGUCACUUAUAGAUGGAUCCGCGCCGCAUUAGCUAGUUGGUAAGGUAACGGCUUACCAAGGCAACGAUGCGUAGCCGACCUGAGAGGGUGGUCGGCCACACUGGAACUGAGACACGGUCCAGACUCCUACGGGAGGCAGCAGUCGGGAAUCUUACGCAAUGGGCGAAAGCCUGACGGAGCAACGCCGCGUGAGUGAUGAAGGUCUUCGGAUCGUAAAACUCUGUUAUUAGGGAAGAACAAAUGUGUAAGUAAAUAUGCACGUCUUGACGGUAACUAGUAAGAAAGCCACGGCUAACUACGUG